Molecule: ribosomal RNA, 728 nt
Filed under: uncultured Glomeromycotina
Lineage: Eukaryota; Fungi; Glomeromycota
Description: SSU rRNA
Rfam family: Eukaryotic small subunit ribosomal RNA
Source: RNAcentral
GGGCACGACACCGGAGAGGGAGCCUGAGAAACGGCUACCACAUCCAAGGAAGGCAGCAGGCGCGCAAAUUACCCAAUCCCGACACGGGGAGGUAGUGACAAUAAAUAACAAUACAGGGUUCUUUUGGAUCUUGUAAUUGGAAUGAGUACAAUUUAAAUCUCUUAACGAGGAACAAUUGGAGGGCAAGUCUGGUGCCAGCAGCCGCGGUAAUUCCAGCUCCAAUAGCGUAUAUUAAAGUUGUUGCAGUUAAAAAGCUCGUAGUUGAAUUUCGGGAUCAAUAUUUCGGUCAUGCCGUUGGUAUGCACUGUUAUAAUUGAUUUCUCACCUUCUAAAGAACCGUAAUGCCAUUAAUUUGGUGUUACGGGGAAUUAGGACUGUUACCUUGAAAAAAUUAGAGUGUUUAAAGCAGGCUCACGCUUGAAUACAUUAGCAUGGAAUAAUGAAAUAGGACAUCCGAUUCUAUUUUGUUGGUUUCUAGGAUCGAUGUAAUGAUUAAUAGGGAUAGUUGGGGGCAUUAGUAUUCAAUUGUCAGAGGUGAAAUUCUUGGAUUUAUUGAAGACUAACUACUGCGAAAGCAUUUGCCAAGGAUGUUUUCAUUAAUCAAGAACGAAAGUUAGGGGAUCGAAGACGAUCAGAUACCGUCGUAGUCUUAACCAUAAACUAUGCCGACUAGGGAUCGGAUGAUGUUAAUUUUUUAAUGACUCAUUCGGCGCCUUACGGGAAACCAA